RNAcentral lists this ribosomal RNA (860 nucleotides) under uncultured bacterium. RNAcentral's name for it is "bacterial SSU rRNA". It matches the Rfam family "Bacterial small subunit ribosomal RNA", at positions 590 to 1450 of the family's 1533-position model. The record is from RNAcentral.
UGGAGUAAAAGGNUAUGGCUCAACCAUAGUGUGCUCUGGAAACUGUNUGACUUGAGUGCAGAAGGGGAGAGUGGAAUUCCAUGUGUAGCGGUGAAAUGCGUAGAUAUAUGGAGGAACACCAGUGGCGAAAGCGGCUCUCUGGUCUGUCACUGACGCUGAGGCUCGAAAGCGUGGGUAGCGAACAGGAUUAGAUACCCUGGUAGUNCACGCCGUAAACGAUGAGUGCUAGGUGUUAGGCCCUUUCCGGGGCUUAGUGCCGGAGCUAACGCAAUAAGCACUCCGCCUGGGGAGUACGACCGCAAGGUUGAAACUCAAAGGAAUUGACGGGGGCCCGCACAAGCGGUGGAGCAUGUGGUUUAAUUCGAAGCAACGCGAAGAACCUUACCAGGUCUUGACAUCCCGAUGCUAUUCUUAGAGAUAGGAAGUUACUUCGGUACAUCGGAGACAGGUGGUGCAUGGUUGUCGUCAGCUCGUGUCGUGAGAUGUUGGGUUAAGUCCCGCAACGAGCGCAACCCUUAUUGUUAGUUGCCAUCAUUAAGUUGGGCACUCUAGCGAGACUGCCGGUAAUAAACCGGAGGAAGGUGGGGAUGACGUCAAAUCAUCAUGCCCCUUAUGACCUGGGCUACACACGUGCUACAAUGGUCGGUACAACGAGUUGCGAGCCGGUGACGGCAAGCUAAUCUCUGAAAGCCGAUCUCAGUUCGGAUUGGAGGCUGCAACUCGCCUCCAUGAAGUCGGAAUCGCUAGUAAUCGCGGAUCAGCACGCCGCGGUGAAUACGUUCCCGGGCCUUGUACACACCGCCCGUCACACCACGAGAGUUUGUAACACCCGAAGUCGGUGAGGUAACCUUUUAGGGGCC